This 468-nucleotide ribosomal RNA is filed under the name uncultured bacterium. RNAcentral describes it as "partial 16S ribosomal RNA". It matches the Rfam family "Bacterial small subunit ribosomal RNA", at positions 28 to 507 of the family's 1533-position model. The record is from RNAcentral.
GAUGAACGCUGGCGGCGUGCUUAACACAUGCAAGUCGAACGGAAGGGCCCGGCGUUUGUGUGGUUGUCGUUUGGCGAACGGGGGAGUAACACGUGAGUAUCCUGCCCUUGACUUUGGGAUAACUUCAGGAAACUGGGGCUAAUACCGGAUAUGAUCUUCUGCUGCAUAGUGGUGGUUGGAAAGUUUCGGCGGUUGUGGAUGGACUCGCGGCUUAUCAGCUUGUUGGUGUGGUAGUUGCUUACCAAGGCUUUGAAGGGUAGCCGGCCUGAGAGGGUGACCGGGCACAAGGGGCCUGAGGGACGGAGCAGACUCGAACGGGCCGCAGUAGGGGGGAGCAUUGCACAAUGGGGGGGAGCCAGAUGUAGAGACGUCGCGUGCGGGAUGCCGUGUUAUGGGUUAAAAACAGAUGUCGAAGGAGACGAAGAGAGCGUGACGGUAACGGGUAAGAAAGCCACGGCUAACUACGUG